AUUGAACGCUGGCGGCAUGCCUUACACAUGCAAGUCGAACGGCAGCACGGGAGCAAUCCUGGUGGCGAGUGGCGAACGGGUGAGUAAUAUAUCGGAACGUGCCCAGUCGUGGGGAUAACGUAGCGAAAGCUACGCUAAUACCGCAUACGAUCUAUGGAUGAAAGCGGGGGAUCGCAAGACCUCGCGCGAUUGGAGCGGCCGAUAUCAGAUUAGGUAGUUGGUGAGGUAAGGCUCACCAAGCCGACGAUCUGUAGCUGGUCUGAGAGGACGACCAGCCACACUGGGACUGAGACACGGCCCAGACUCCUACGGGAGGCAGCAGUGGGGAAUUUUGGACAAUGGGCGCAAGCCUGAUCCAGCAAUGCCGCGUGCAGGAUGAAGGCCUUCGGGUU
Molecule: ribosomal RNA, 392 nt
Filed under: uncultured bacterium
Lineage: Bacteria
Description: bacterial SSU rRNA
Rfam family: Bacterial small subunit ribosomal RNA
Source: RNAcentral